UGAGCAAUCUGCCCUUCUCAUCGGAAUAAGCGUUGGAAACGACGUCUAAUGCCGAAUACGACCUCCUUUCACAUGAUCGGAGGUGGAAAGCUCCGGCGGAGAAGGAUGAGCUCGCGGCCUAUCAGCUAGUUGGUGGGGUAAUGGCUCACCAAGGCAACGACGGGUAGCUGGUCUGAGAGGAUGGCCAGCCACAUUGGGACUGAGACACGGCCCAGAUCCGUAACGGGG
RNAcentral lists this ribosomal RNA (228 nucleotides) under uncultured bacterium. RNAcentral's name for it is "partial 16S ribosomal RNA". It matches the Rfam family "Bacterial small subunit ribosomal RNA", at positions 118 to 347 of the family's 1533-position model. The record is from RNAcentral.